Molecule: ribosomal RNA, 253 nt
Filed under: uncultured bacterium
Lineage: Bacteria
Description: partial 16S ribosomal RNA
Rfam family: Bacterial small subunit ribosomal RNA
Source: RNAcentral
UACAGAGGUCCCGAGCGUUGUUCGGAUUCACUGGGCGUAAAGGGUGCGUAGGUGGCGUGGUAAGUCGGGUGUGAAAUUUCGGAGCUUAACUCCGAAACUGCAUUCGAUACUGCCGUGCUUGAGGACUGGAGAGGAGACUGGAAUUUACGGUGUAGCAGUGAAAUGCGUAGAGAUCGUAAGGAAGACCAGUGGCGAAGGCGGGUCUCUGGACAGUACCUGACACUGAGGCACGAAGGCCAGGGGAGCAAACGGG